GAUGAACGCUAGCUACAGGCUUAACACAUGCAAGUCGAGGGGAAACGGCAUCGAAAGCUUGCUUUUGAUGGGCGUCGACCGGCGCACGGGUGAGUAACGCGUAUCCACCCUGCCCAUCACUUGGGAAUAACCUUGCGAAAGUAAUACUAAUGCCCAAUGACAUCCCACGAAGGCAUCCGAAAGGGAUUGAAGUUUUAUCGGUUAUGGAUGGGGAUGCGUCUGAUUAGCUUGUUGGCGGGGUGACGGCCCACCAAGGCAACGAUCAGUAGGGGUUCUGAGAGGAAGGUCCCCCAGAUUGGAGCUGAGACACGGUCCAAACUCCUACGGGAGGCAGCAGUGAGGAAUACUGGUCAAUGGGCGAGAGCCUGAACCAGCCAAGUAGCGUGCAGGAUGCCGGCCCUCUGGGUUGUAAACUGCUUUUAUAAGGGAAUAAAGUGGGUAACGUGUGACUUUUUGAAUGUACCUAAUGAAUAAGGACCGGCUAAUUCCGUG
Molecule: ribosomal RNA, 492 nt
Filed under: uncultured bacterium
Lineage: Bacteria
Description: partial 16S ribosomal RNA
Rfam family: Bacterial small subunit ribosomal RNA
Source: RNAcentral